RNAcentral lists this ribosomal RNA (98 nucleotides) under Jaculus jaculus (lesser Egyptian jerboa). Lineage: Eukaryota; Metazoa; Chordata; Mammalia; Rodentia; Dipodidae. The record is from RNAcentral.
UUCGGCUAUACCACCCAAAAUGCCCCUGAUCUCUCAUCUCAGAAGCUAAGCAGGGUUGGUCAGUCCUUGGAUGGGAGGGAGCAAUGAGACCCCAGGAU